RNAcentral lists this ribosomal RNA (521 nucleotides) under uncultured bacterium. RNAcentral describes it as "bacterial SSU rRNA". It matches the Rfam family "Bacterial small subunit ribosomal RNA", at positions 9 to 530 of the family's 1533-position model. The record is from RNAcentral.
GAGUUUGAUCCUGGCUCAGGAUGAACGCUGGCGGCGUGCUUAACACAUGCAAGUCGAGCGGAGCACAUCGUUGGAAUCCUUCGGGAGGAAGAGGAUGUGGCUUAGCGGCGGACAGGUGAGUAACGCGUGGACAACCUGCCCUAUGCAGGGGGAUAACAUCCGGAAACGGGUGCUAAUACCGCAUAAGCGCACAGUACCGCAUGGUACAGUGUGAAAAGCUGAGGCGGCAUAGGAUGGGUCCGCGUUGGAUUAGGCAGUUGGCGGGGUAACGGCCCACCAAACCGACGAUCCAUAGCCGGCCUGAGAGGGUGGACGGCCACAUUGGGACUGAGACACGGCCCAGACUCCUACGGGAGGCAGCAGUGGGGAAUAUUGCACAAUGGAGGGAACCCUGAUGCAGCGACGCCGCGUGGGUGAGGAAGUACUUCGGUAUGUAAAGCCCUAUCAGCAGGGAAGAAAAUGACGGUGCCUGACUAAGAAGCCCCGGCUAACUACGUGCCAGCAGCCGCGGUAAUACGUAG